Molecule: ribosomal RNA, 492 nt
Filed under: uncultured bacterium
Lineage: Bacteria
Description: partial 16S ribosomal RNA
Rfam family: Bacterial small subunit ribosomal RNA
Source: RNAcentral
AUUGAACGCUGGCGGCAUGCCUAACACAUGCAAGUCGAACGGCAGCAUGGUAAGGCUUUGUUGAUACAUGUCGCGUGUGGCGGGCGGGUGAGGUAUACAUCAGCGUGCACUUUUUUGUGGGGGAUAACGUAGGAAAACUUACUCUUACACCACAUACCACCUGCGUGUGAGAGCAGGACCUCUUGGCCCCUUGCUCUAUUGACUGCCCCGAUGUCUGAUUAGCUAGUUGGCGGGGUAAAGGCUCACCAAGGCGACGAUCAGUAGCUGGUCUGAGAGGAUGAUCAGCCACACUGGAACUGAGACACGGCCCAGACUCCUACGGGAGGCAGCAGUGGGGAAUUUUGGACAAUGGGCGAAAGCCUGAUCCAGCAAUGCCGCGUGUGUGAAGAAGGCCUUCGGGUUGUAAAGCCCUUUUGUUCGGAAAGAAAUGCAGCUGGUUAAUACCUCGCGGUGAUGACGGUACCGAAAGAAUAAGCACCGGCUAACUACGUG